This 1524-nucleotide long non-coding RNA is filed under the name Medicago truncatula (barrel medic). Its description in RNAcentral is "long non-coding RNA (MTRU_LNC004825)". Lineage: Eukaryota; Viridiplantae; Streptophyta; Magnoliopsida; Fabales; Fabaceae. The record is from RNAcentral.
GGGUGAUUAAUAAACUUUAACCAGUUCCAAACAAUGUUAGAAAGAGUCAAAAGCAGCAAACCCAUUGAUUUGGAAAUCUACAAUGGCAUUUGAGUUGGCCUAGGCCAAAUUGCAAUGUAUAAUGAAGCUUCACAUCACUUAAUAACCCCUUUCUGUUAUUUUCUCCUAAUCUAUCUAACUAUAGUGUUCAUGUAAAUGCCCGGCAAUUAACUAGUCUGAGACAAGCGCAGGCCAUGUUCAAACAAUAGAUACAAUUUUAUCGUGCUCAUGAUAUGAAACCCAAUUUGGAUCUGCCACUCUCCCUCAAUUUGUAACAACAUGCAACUAUUCUAAGACAUUCAUGUGACCAUAGAAAUUCAACCCUCAUGUCUGUAUUAUGGUGGUGGCUAAGGGUUGAGUUCUAUCACCAAUAGAAGAAAUUAUGACUCUCCUCAUCAAUUUCUUGAGAAGGUAUAAAAAUCUAUAAUCAUCAUAAUUAUGUUGUUUCAGUAUUUUCAAGUGCAUAGAGAUUUCACUACAAGCAUAAGUAAUUGUAUUUAUUCAUUCAUUAAGUUUGAGGUUAUAGUCAGGCAUAAGGACUUUUUGAGACUUAUUGGAAGAGCUUAUGAAAACAACUUAUAGUUUAUAUGAAAACAGUUUGACUUUAUUAUAUCUUUUGUUAUAGAUAUAGCGUAUAUAUAAGCACUUGUAUGAUAAGUGUUUAUACUAUAGGCACUUAAUCCAGCUGUUUAUCCAAACAUAGUCUAAAUUGAAUUCAGAUCAAGAGAAAGCCAAAAGUAGAAGAGUCGUACGUGUUCUUAAAUAGUGUCAAACCAAAGCUAGGGAAAUUGUCAAAUCCACAUGAAUCUCCAAUACCACUGAAAAACCACUUAAAGCAACUCCAGAAGAAACUUAUGCUUAAAUACUUUCCAAGUUGUCGAACUUGGUUCCUGUAAUAUUCUCAUAACAAAAAAAUAAUAGUAAAUAAACAAAAUAGUAACAAAAACAAUCUAUUCAUAAACACUAAGAGGAUAAAAAGAGUUCAAGGUGCACGAUAGAAAAAGCUUCUGAGUAGUAAAAUUAGUAUACCCUGCAAGUUCUGCUCCCGUUUUUGUAUGGAAACUGUUAAUGAGCAUUGCUGUGGCUGUUCCACUGGGAUAUGUAAGCUUAUAAUCCAAGACCAUAACCUGAAAUUGAAUUCACAGAUACUAAAUACAUUGGUAAAGGAAGUGGUAUAUCAUACAUGUAAUAGAUUGAAGAAAAAGAGGUUAUACCUCUAUAUAAAAAAGUACCAAAGCAUUAACCAAAUGCACUCCCAUCAAUUCAACUAUUAUAUUCACAUGUGUCAUCACUCAUCACUCAUUAGAUACACUACUAAAAUGAUUCCAUUUUUUUUUUGUUGAAUAAAAACCUAAUAAAAGAUUUUUUUAAAUUACACGAUUCCCCUUAAUUCGUAUUUUUCCAUCUAGUAUUUAACACAGAAAUGCUCGCAUUUUCACGCAGAACAGAAACAAUGCAUACGACUUGGACCAUAUAUGUCUCCUC